Non-coding RNA from Chiloscyllium plagiosum (whitespotted bambooshark), 781 nucleotides. The record is from RefSeq and is a predicted model, not a curated record. Lineage: Eukaryota; Metazoa; Chordata; Chondrichthyes; Orectolobiformes; Hemiscylliidae.
GAAAAUGAGAGGUUUUUCUGAAUGCUUAUUAUUUGGCCAACAAGAAUUUUGUUGACCUGUCCAGGGUGCACAACAAUGGUUCAAAAGUCCUUUGGCUUUAGAAUGCUUGGGAGGUUCUGUGGUCAUUUAAAGCGCAAAAUGUAUGGAAGAAUUUAUUUUCCUUUUAUAAUGGAUAGAGGUUUUUAGGGAAAUGGAGGUCUUGCCCCACAUGCUGUCUGUGAUGAGAAAAGGUGGGUGACAUGGAAUAUCUGCCCAGAACCACUUUCUAAAAUUUGAAAGGGAUACAAUCAAAAUUCCAGGUUGCUGUCUGCUUCCCAUUUUCCCAACAGUUUCUUCAAAAGAUAGCAGCAAUACUUGGAUGUUUGUUAUGAAUUUUAUUCUUUAUGAAUGCAGGAUCUGUAGCAGGGCGUGUAGAAGCACACUACAAAAUGAUCAGCUGUGUGUUUCAGUUUCCACCCUUUUCUUUUUGUAGGUGAAAAUUGUAACUGGGUUUGGCAGGGUCAACUGGAUGUGAUUUAGGAACAGGGUGUGGGCUCUUCCUCUCUGUGAGGUCAUAUUCCAACACAGCCCCACCUGAGAUCAUUUUAAUGCUGCACAGAUUAGGGACGGAAUCUGGAAUUUUCCUCAUUUAUUUUGCAUUGCACUACAUGUGCACUUGCUUUGCUAGCUUUUGAGGGCCCCUGUAUCAACCAGCCUGUUUAAUUGUUAGAACAUAAUAUCACAGCAGAUAUCUUGCUGAGUUUUCACCUGCCUAAAAUCAUGAGUCAUGUCAAGCAUUAGA